This is a long non-coding RNA of Ailuropoda melanoleuca (giant panda), 1524 nucleotides long. RefSeq lists it as uncharacterized. Lineage: Eukaryota; Metazoa; Chordata; Mammalia; Carnivora; Ursidae. The transcript is spliced from 3 exons. The record is from RefSeq and is a predicted model, not a curated record.
GUGGAGUCUCCUCGGGGAAUGGAAACCUGAGCCCCACCCUGCAGGGCUAUCAGGCCCCUGUUUGUGGGGUGUGCAUACAGAGCUUAGCAGGGAGCCUAGUUCAGUGAGAAGUUCUCCUCCUAGUAAGAACAGGGUGGUUCUGUUCUGCUCCAGGAAACGGUGCCCAAGGAGUGAGCGGCCAGAGGGCUGAUGAGAAAGAAGGAGGCUGGGGGAAGGGGUGAGGGAUGUCAGGAUUCUAGGAGAACGUGGCCCAAGGAAGGGGCAGCUGUAGGCCCAAGGUCUGCCUCCUGCAGGUGCGAUGUCUGAGCCGCCCACUCCCGGGGUCCCCGCAUGCUGCGUGCACUUUCCACAGAGACACCCCAUAGGGACACCCCGCAACCCCCUGGACGAGACCCUCAGACAGUGUUUGCUUAAUGAAUAAUGAAAAGAAAUAGAAAAUCAAGAGAACCAAGGUCUAGGCCCUGUGCUCUUCAAACAAGACACACGGAGAGAGCCACCCUAUACUCUAGGCAGGGGGUUCUUAGCAGGCACAGUGGGGCCUUUCUGGAGUGGUUGUCACCACUGGGGUGGGGCUGGGGCUACAGUCAAGCAGCUGAGGCCAGGGAAGCUGCUAACACCCCAAAAUACACAGUGCAGCCCCCACCACAAAGAACAUCCAGCCCACAGGUCAAUGGUGUGAUUGGAAACCCCACUCUAGGGGAAAGAUGAAUGUUCCAGAAUGUUCCAGAUACACAGACUGGACUCCUAUCACCUGGAGACUGCUUGGCUUCCUGACCCAGGGGUUGGUGUCUGGCUCCCUGAGCCAGAGCCUUUUCAUGAGGCCCCCAGAGAAACGAGGCGAUUCAGCUAUUACCUGGACAGGUAACCUUCUUGGAAGGAAGUGCAAUCUCUGCUCUCAAAGAGAUUUGAAAACCCUCCAACAGGCAACUCUUUCUAAUUGUUCUGGCACUUUCCCCUGCCUUGCUGGGUUUUCAUCUAAAGGGAAGUUCCUGAAAGCCCGAGACAAUGCUGGGUCUCCAGGCCAACCUCACAUUUGCUCCCCCUGCGCUCAAGGAUCAUAAGCCCCCAGGAGCCGCUCUUGAACUGGGAGGAUUUAAACCACACAAGGGAAGUAUUAAACCCAAAGAAUGCAAUCUUCUUGUCCCAUCGGAGACACCCGUCAAUAUUCCUACACAGAUAAAUCACUCAUUGGCCAGAAGGAUGGGUGGGGAGCAAUGAUAAAUCAUCGUGUAUUUCUCCUUAACUCUCGUGUUCUUGAGCAAACUUUCUCCCGGGCUAUGUCGCCAGCAUUGGAAGCACCCCUCUGGGGCAGAAAAUGCCAGCAUUCUUUCCAGGCCUUCUGUUUAAAAUUCUGCUGAAACUUCUAAAUACUCAUGCUGCAGAGAAAACAUGCUGUGCCUCGAACAAAUUGAGCUCAGGAUCCAAACAGCCCAGGAGACGGAGCCCAGCCCCACUUCCUGUCCCUGGAGGGUCCCUUGCACCCUCGGCUCCUGAGGGUCACGGCUUUGAAAUAAAAAGCCUGAA